This is a regulatory RNA element of Serratia fonticola, 68 nucleotides long. It matches the Rfam family "ClpQY promoter". The record is from Rfam. NCBI's taxonomy places the organism in Bacteria, Pseudomonadati, Pseudomonadota, Gammaproteobacteria, Enterobacterales, Yersiniaceae.
CCUCGUAGUCUCUGCCAACGCAGAGGCUGCGGGGACUUCUUUCCGUCCGCAACGAGGGUCUGCUCGUG